GCACAAGCGGUGGAUGAUGUGGAUUAAUUCGAUGCAACGCGAAAAACCUUACCUACCCUUGACAUGUCCGGAAUCCCGGAGAGAUUCGGGAGCGCUCGCAAGAGAACCGGAACACAGGUGCUGCAUGGCUGUCGUCAGCUCGUGUCGUGAGAUGUUGGGUUAAGUCCCGCAACGAGCGCAACCCUUGUCAUUAGUUGCCAUCAUUCAGUUGGGCACUCUAAUGAGACUGCCGGUGACAAACCGGAGGAAGGUGGGGAUGACGUCAAGUCCUCAUGGCCCUUAUGGGUAGGGCUUCACACGUCAUACAAUGGUCGGUACAGAGGGUUGCCAACCCGCGAGGGGGAGCCAAUCCCACAAAGCCGAUCGUAGUCCGGAUUGGAGUCUGCAACUCGACUCCAUGAAGUCGGAAUCGCUAGUAAUCGUGGAUCAGCAUGUCACGGUGAAUACGUUCCCGGGCCUUGUACACACCG
RNAcentral lists this ribosomal RNA (470 nucleotides) under uncultured beta proteobacterium. Its description in RNAcentral is "bacterial SSU rRNA". It matches the Rfam family "Bacterial small subunit ribosomal RNA", at positions 923 to 1392 of the family's 1533-position model. The record is from RNAcentral. Lineage: Bacteria; Pseudomonadati; Pseudomonadota; Betaproteobacteria.